RNAcentral lists this ribosomal RNA (202 nucleotides) under uncultured Desulfocapsa sp. RNAcentral describes it as "partial 16S ribosomal RNA". It matches the Rfam family "Bacterial small subunit ribosomal RNA", at positions 1180 to 1382 of the family's 1533-position model. The record is from RNAcentral. Lineage: Bacteria; Pseudomonadati; Thermodesulfobacteriota; Desulfobulbia; Desulfobulbales; Desulfocapsaceae.
UGACGUCAAGUCCUCAUGCCUUUAUGACCAGGGCUACACACGUACUACAAUGGCCGGUACAAAGGGCAGCGACACAGCGAUGUGAAGCGAAUCCCGAAAAGCCGGUCUCAGUCCGGAUUGGAGUCUGCAACUCGACUCCAUGAAGUUGGAAUCGCUAGUAAUCGCGGAUCAGCACGCCGCGGUGAAUACGUUCCCGGGCCUU